This is a long non-coding RNA of Mesocricetus auratus (golden hamster), 1535 nucleotides long. RefSeq lists it as uncharacterized. The record is from RefSeq and is a predicted model, not a curated record. Lineage: Eukaryota; Metazoa; Chordata; Mammalia; Rodentia; Cricetidae. The transcript has 3 exons.
GCUGCACCCUUUCACAUUCUCACCAGCAAUCUUAACGGCUUCUCAUUGUUUCCCGUUGCAGGUUGUUCCAUUAACAGUGCCUAUGCUAGCACCCCAGCAGCUGUAAAGAUUCGCACAUUACUCAGGCACAGAAGAAAAGCUAAAAGCGGGCGUCAGAUGAAGGGAGAGCUGAAGGAGCUGAACUCAUUUUCCACACACAGAGAUAAUUGGCACGGCAGUAAUUUUGGAGAGCUGAAUUAAAUGAAUAAGUUGUGACAUGGGAAAAACUGAAAAGGACAGCAGUGUUCUGGCUCGCACAGAAUCGCUACCUUGCUUGGAUUUGAGCUCUCUCUCUAAUACAGUGUCUGAGGCACCAUCUUUGGCUCUGUCUUUACAAGAGGAAGUGGCAAAACAAACACCCACACAGACAAAUCUUGGUGAAAUCUGAGCCUCCACACAGCUUCAGUGCCACCCACAGCUGGACAGCAAAAUGGCAAAGUCUCCAGAUUCUGCGAGUAGGCAAAUGCAAGGUGCCAGAAUCAGGAGUUCUGGAAUUUCAGCGUGUCUCUCCUCUUCCAAUCCUCAAUGUCUGUCAGAAACACAGGAAAUGGAGCAAAUGUCUGCUUCUGGGACCUCUCACUGGCUUCUUGCAAGGCAGAAGUGAACGUUUUUUGCAUGAGCCAGUAAGUGUUCGAGUACAGCCAUCCGCAGGCACUGGAUCAGGCUGUGCUGAUGGGAUGCUCCUAGCUGUCCAUGCUGGGGUCUGAGACCUCACCAUGAAAGCAUCACAGCCACAGAGACAGAUGAGCGUCUGCCAUCCUGAGACAUUGCAUGAUUGAGAGACCAAGAGGAAAAAACUUGCAGUGUUUCAUCUGUGACCCUGCGAUUCCUGUGUAGGGCAGGGAGAAGGGGUUUCUGGGGACUCUAGGGUAACUGGGUGUGCUCUGGGUUGAAGUCAGGGUCAGAAGUAAUGGGUGUUGAGCUGCACACUUUGGAUUUGUGCAAACAUUUGGCCUUAAGCUAACCCACUACCAGGAAGGCUGGGGGAUGGUAGACUCAUGCAGGCUGAAACACCACCCCAGGCUCAGUUGCAGCCAUCCCUGGCUAUAUGAUGUUAUUAUGUCACACUGGGGGCAUUUGUGCCUGAUGCCCCAGAAGAGAGCCAGCACUUUCAUGAGUAUUUUCCAGACUCCAGGUCCUACCCCUCAAGGACAAAGAGGCUCCAGGGAAGGAAAGUCAAAUGCAAAGUGUCUCAGGAGGUGGAGGCCAUACAAAGAAGCCAUAGGGCCAAUACUGGCGGUGAAAUGCGGCCCACCAGCAUGUGAGAACAAGACAGCAGGAGGACCGGCAUGCAGAGAGAACCCUGAGAACUGGGGCUGUGGGGUAACCCUAAGUCUCAUCACAGUGACUUGGAGGGUAACAAGGAGGAUAACAAGGAUAGCUUAUUGUUGUGAGUUAUGUCUGAAAUCAUAAAUGCGGAGAUGGAAUGUGUUAUUUUUCCCAGAUGUGUAAAUUUCAUAUUCAGAAUAAUUUCUCUGCUUCUUUCUGAAUUGAAA